This is a long non-coding RNA of Brassica napus (rape), 1933 nucleotides long. RefSeq lists it as uncharacterized. NCBI's taxonomy places the organism in Eukaryota, Viridiplantae, Streptophyta, Magnoliopsida, Brassicales, Brassicaceae. The record is from RefSeq and is a predicted model, not a curated record. The transcript has 4 exons.
GGCCAAGGAGAUGGCGGAGAAGGCGGCGGAGAUGGUGAAAGAAGCGAAUGAUACAACGGAGACGGCAAAGAGAGAGAUGGCCAAGGCGUUGGGGGUGAUGAGGAAAGUCAAGUGGAACGUGUAAACCGGUAGACGCGCUUCGGUUCAGUUCCACUACUAAUCAGAGUUUUUUUGCUAGGCAGAUCGUUUGAUUCAUUGGUUUAUAAAUUGGUUGGCUGGUUUAUAAGCGGUUUAAUUGAUUUGACUCGUGUGAUCCGAAAAGAAAUUCGGUUUGAUUUCCAGUUUAAGCGUCUUUAGCCUGUGAUCUCAUGCUGGCAUCACUUAAAAUAUGAGACCAACAUUAUCGCCGUUUCUUAGCUAAAGUUUUUAGUAUAAUUAAGAUUAAAAAUAAAUCAAAAUUAGUUAUUAUCAGAAAAACAUUAUUUAAUUAAGGACAAGAACAAACGUUUCUUGAGACACGUGUCUCUCAUUGAGGGAGUUUCCCCUUCUUCUCUCCACAUCUCUCUCUGUGGUGACUCCUCUGUUUCUCACUUCAGAGGAAAAUGGUAAAAUACAAAGCUUUGGUUGAGGACUGUUGCUGUGAUUACGAAACAGUGGACAAAUCUUCUCCAGUUCCAGUGUUAGCUGAUGAUCCAAGCGGUGAUGAUCUUGUUUUGUCUCCAAGGAAGAAUCUUUGCUUGAGGUUCAGGUUCAGAUUAAGAAAGAUGCGUCGAUGGUCGGAUCUUAUCUCAAAGGAAGACUCAAUCAGCUGAAAGAGAAACACGAAAUCAUUGGGGAUGUACGGGGAAGAGGACUGAUGCUUGGAGUUGAGCUGGUGAGUGGUCGCAAACUUAAAACUCCUGCAACUGCCGAGACUCUUCGCAUCAUGGAUGAUAUGAAAGGUUUGUUGGUUUUGUGUUUUUUGUGGGAAAAUUGAGAGUGAUCCAGUUUGAUUUAAGAUCUCGGAAUUUGUGUGUGCAAUUGUGUAAAGGAUCAUAGCUCAGAAGAAGAAAGGAAGAUGAGUGGAAGUGGAGAUAAAGUUAGUGUAACUACAAAGUCCUAGUAAUAAUGUGCAUAUUUCCUAAUGUCUCUUAACAAUGUAUCUUACUCUAAAAAUAGUAAUAAAAAAAGCUAAGAACUCAAAAUUUUGUCCCAGCAAUAAUGAUGCUCUGAUACCAAAAACAUUCAAGAGACAUCUCAUCCGAAAAUGCCACGCGUCAAUGAAGCUGUGGCUGAGAUUGACUACACAGUCCACGUCAGCUUACUAGAAACAGGAUCAUGCUUGUCUUCACACUUUUGCCACUUCUUCUUUAAUCUUUCCUGAACGUUUGAUGAUACGGAGAAGACACUUCUUGGUGUAGUGUAGAGAGAAAGAGAGAGCCAUGGAAGCUUUGAAAGUCGCUAGCUUUACUCCUAUGUCAGUUUUAUCCGAAAAGAGAUCAGAACCAGGGAGACCCUUCUCACUCCCUAGCAUAUUUCCACCAAGAAGACCCCAACCCAAUCUCCAUGGAAAGCUUCUUCAAGAGCUUCAAUGGCGGGUUGGCUCUACUAACUUCUGUUCUAAGCAGUGCAAUAGCUCCUGCAAAGUCUCUGACGUACGAGGAAACCUUGCAACUAUCUAUUGACCACUUCUUCAUCUUUUGAUUUAGACGGUUUGAUCUAUGGGAUAUCAAGUUUCUUCACGGACAACCCUCCGGUUAUUUCUGCAUUUUCUGUUCCCUUUGUUCUGUCUCAGGUUCUGAACAAAAAUAAUAAGUGUUUAAUAUGCUAGAAUUUUAAACAAAAAGUUUACUAUUUGGAUAUUAGGUUUGUGUUUCCAUAUUUCAUCUGUAAAAAAAAAAUUGUUUUUCAAUAUAAAUAUAGAUUUUAUGGAGAGGUGUUCUAUGUAAGAGACACAUUGUGAUAUUUAGUUUGUUGAAAGUUAGCAUAUUAAUAAAUGUUUAAUAUGUUACGA